GAUGAACGCUGGCGGCGUGCCUAAUACAUGCAAGUCGAGCGAACGGACGAGAAGCUUGCUUUUCUGAUGUUAGCGGCGGACGGGUGAGUAACACGUGGAUAACCUACCUAUAAGACUGGGAUAACUUCGGGAAACCGGAGCUAAUACCGGAUAAUAUUUUGAACCGCAUGGUUCAAAAGUGAAAGACGGUCUUUCUGUCACUUAUAGAUGGAUCCGCGCUGCAUUAGCUAGUUGUUAAGGUAACGGCUUACCAAGGCAACGAUGCAUAGCCGACCUGAGAGGGUGAUAGGCCACCCUGGAACUGAGCCACGGUCCAGACUCCUACGGGAGGCCGCAGUCGGGAAUCUUACGCAGUGGGCGAGAGCCUGACGCAGCAGCGCCGCGUGAGUGAUGGAGGUCUUCUGAUCGUAAAACUCUGUUAUUAGUGAAAGACAUAUGUGUAAGUAACUGUGCAGAUCUUGACGGUACCUAAUAAAAAAGCCACGGCUAACUACGUG
RNAcentral lists this ribosomal RNA (497 nucleotides) under uncultured bacterium. Its description in RNAcentral is "partial 16S ribosomal RNA". It matches the Rfam family "Bacterial small subunit ribosomal RNA", at positions 28 to 507 of the family's 1533-position model. The record is from RNAcentral.